Molecule: transfer RNA, 73 nt
Filed under: Scincella vandenburghi (Tsushima smooth skink)
Lineage: Eukaryota; Metazoa; Chordata; Lepidosauria; Squamata; Scincidae
Also listed under: 1 other name
Description: tRNA-Leu
Rfam family: tRNA
About the family: Transfer RNA (tRNA) molecules are approximately 80 nucleotides in length. Their secondary structure includes four short double-helical elements and three loops (D, anti-codon, and T loops).
Source: RNAcentral
ACUUUUAAAGGAUCACAGUUUAAUCCAUUAGUCUUAGGAACUAAAAUCCUUGGUGCAACUCCAAGUAGAAGUA